This 497-nucleotide ribosomal RNA is filed under the name uncultured bacterium. Its description in RNAcentral is "partial 16S ribosomal RNA". It matches the Rfam family "Bacterial small subunit ribosomal RNA", at positions 28 to 507 of the family's 1533-position model. The record is from RNAcentral.
GAUGAACGCUGGCGGCGUGCCUAAUACAUGCAAGUCGAGCGAACGGACGAGAAGCUUGCUUCUCUGAUGUUAGCGGCGGACGGGUGAGUAACACGUGGAUAACCUACCUAUAAGACUGGGAUAACUUCGGGAAACCGUAGCUAAUACCGGAUAAUAUUUUGAACCGCAUGGUUCAAAAGUGAAAUAAGCUCUUUCUGUCACUUAUAGAUGGAUCCGCGCUGCAUUAGCUAGUUGGUAAGGUAACGGCUUACCAAGGCAACGAUGCAUAGCCGACCUGAAAGGGUGAUCGGCCACACUGGAACUGAGACACGGUCCAGACUCCUACGGGAGGCAGCAGUAGGGAAUCUUACGCAAUGGGCGAAAGCCUGACGGAGCAACGCCGCGUGAGUGAUGAAGGUCUUCGGAUCGUAAAACUCUGUUAUUAGGGAAGAACAUAUGUGUAAGUACCUGUGCACAUCUUGACGGUACCUAAUCAGAAAGCCACGGCUAACUACGUG